CGACUUUUAUUUGGAAUAAAAAUACGAAUGGCGGCCAUAUUGAAAUUUUCGUUAUUGUCGCUGGGUACACACUGCUAUCUCAGAGGUUUGGUGGGUGACAGCAGUUUUAUAUUAGAUUGUUGGCGCUCCACCGAAGGAGGAAAACAGUCGCAGGACCUCGUAGCAGCCGAGGUUGUGCGCCAGGGGGUGUUUGCCCUUUUGAAUUUCAAACGAAAUGAACGUAAACGAACUAAAACAAUACCAGCUGUUUGUGCAGGAGAUGCUAACUAACUAGCUAGUAGGCUACUUUGCUAACCAGCGUCCACUGUGAAAAGUAACGUCCGAAUAAAAGAAGGCAGAAACAACCAGAGCAUCUUCACUACCUCCAGCUACAACAACAACAACGUUGCAUAGCCAUCAUGACUCCCUGUGAGGUAGACUAUGCCCUGCAAACGCUGAUGUCGAAAAUAAAGGCGAGGGAGUUGGAGUCGCAACGGGCGAUGAACGAACACGUUCUGACAAACAGACUCUUGAAACGUCAGCUUCAGGAACUUCAGAACCGACUAGAGUCAAAAGAGAGCCAGUUAGCUGAUGCCAACGAGACUAUCCGGGCUCUUCGGAGUGUGACUCAGAUCAUCGCUGGUCUGCAGGAUGAGAUCAGGGCCCUGCGCACACAGCUGCUGACGCCCCAAGUUCACAACCAUCGAUCAAUCACCACACAGAUCCGGAACCCAGCAGCCAUCUCCGGUCCAAUCAGAAUUCAGGCCCCUGAUGACCUGUCCCGUCGCACUCUCUCUCACCCCACUGAAGCUGGCCCCACAUGUUCAGACUACAUUUCCCAGAAUUCCUCCAAAGAGUGCACCCUUCUGAAAAUCAUCUCGGAAUGCGGAAGGACAACAGAAGUUGCAGUUCCACGUGUAAAAGAGGAGGAGCAGGAAGUUGAAAUGGAAGGAGGGGAUGAGGACGGAGAGAGUGAGGGAGGGGUCGCCGAGGAAACGGUGAAGUUGGAGAACGACGGCGAGUGGGACGGGUGUUUCGAAUAUAACCAUGCAGCGCACGGCAGUGGAGAACUACCAGACAAGGAGUCUUCGUAUACCUUCAGCAAUCAUGACUUGGCUGCCAUUGAAGCGGCAACAUCCGCGUCUUCUUCGCGUUCUUCCGAUUCUGCUGCAGUCUUGAAUGCGUCUAACUCUCGGAAAAGGCAGGUGCCGGACACCCCUCUAGAUAGCCAGUCAGCAAGUGUGAUGGUCCACACUGCGCUCUGUGAGAAGCUCGGGGGUGACAGGAUAUUUCAUGAGUAUAAUAAGAUGAAAUGUCUCUCAGAUGGAACAAGGAGGAAGAUGGUCAACAUACUAGUGGCAGACAUGAUGGAAAAUCAUGGAAGGCCCCCACCAGCAAGUAUUCGAGUGUCUUAUGCGCUUGGAAUAGUAACCUUAUUCCCUUUCUUGAAGGAUCUGAACUCCAAGAAUGGUUAUGUAAGUAUUUGGAUAAAGGGCGAACAACAUGCAUGAAUACUGAAGACUGAAGGAAACGAUAAUCUGUUGCUAAAUAUGGUCCGUCAUCUGAUGUGAUCAAACGUACAGUAUAUACUGCAGAUGUCGCACUCUGCAAGAGCACUAAUAGCUAAUAAUGUAAUGAUGUGGACUAAUGGACUAAUGUGCCAUACUGUUUGUGUCUACGGACAACUUGGUUGGUGCUAUUGAUGUUCAUCACCAUAUACCUUUUCUUCAUCGUAAUUUUCUUUUUCUCAUCUUCUAUCUUUUGUGUGUGCAGAAGUGAGAUUGAUUACUUUAAACAUGGUGAUGUUGUUGCUAUUGUUGUAUUGCUGCAAUCACCU
Clupea harengus (Atlantic herring) is the source of this 1816-nucleotide long non-coding RNA. NCBI's taxonomy places the organism in Eukaryota, Metazoa, Chordata, Actinopteri, Clupeiformes, Clupeidae. The record is from Ensembl.